This 72-nucleotide transfer RNA is filed under the name Colletotrichum orbiculare MAFF 240422. RNAcentral's name for it is "tRNA-Arg (ACG) (tRNA-Arg-ACG-4-1)". It matches the Rfam family "tRNA". From Rfam's summary of the family: Transfer RNA (tRNA) molecules are approximately 80 nucleotides in length. Their secondary structure includes four short double-helical elements and three loops (D, anti-codon, and T loops). Lineage: Eukaryota; Fungi; Ascomycota; Sordariomycetes; Glomerellales; Glomerellaceae. The record is from RNAcentral.
GGCUGGCUGGCCCAAUGGUAAGGCGUCUGAGCACGAAUCAGGAGAUUGUGGGCCCCACCCCCAUGCUGGCCA